UUAGCUGGUCUGAGAGGAUGGCCAGCCACACUGGAACUGAGACACGGUCCAGACUCCUACGGGAGGCAGCAGUGGGGAAUAUUGGACAAUGGGGGAAACCCUGAUCCAGCAAUGCCGCGUGUGUGAAGAAGGCCUGAGGGUUGUAAAGCACUUUCAGUGGGGAGGAGGGUUGAUAGGUUAAGAGCUAAUUAACUGGACGUUACCCACAGAAGAAGCACCGGCUAACUCCGUGCCAGCAGCCGCGGUAAUACGGAGGGUGCGAGCGUUAAUCGGAGUUACUGGGCGUAAAGGGUGCGUAGGUGGUUUAUUAAGUUAUCUGUGAAAUCCCUGGGCUUAACCUGGGCAGGUCAGAUAAGACUGGUAGACUCGAGUAUGG
RNAcentral lists this ribosomal RNA (376 nucleotides) under uncultured Legionella sp. Its description in RNAcentral is "bacterial SSU rRNA". It matches the Rfam family "Bacterial small subunit ribosomal RNA", at positions 283 to 651 of the family's 1533-position model. The record is from RNAcentral. Lineage: Bacteria; Pseudomonadati; Pseudomonadota; Gammaproteobacteria; Legionellales; Legionellaceae.